Molecule: ribosomal RNA, 425 nt
Filed under: uncultured bacterium
Lineage: Bacteria
Description: partial 16S ribosomal RNA
Rfam family: Bacterial small subunit ribosomal RNA
Source: RNAcentral
GUGGGGAAUCUUGCGCAAUGGGCGAAAGCCUGACGCAGCCAUGCCGCGUGAAUGAUGAAGGUCUUAGGAUUGUAAAAUUCUUUCACCGGGGACGAUAAUGACGGUACCCGGAGAAGAAGCUCCGGCUAACUUCGUGCCAGCAGCCGCGGUAAUACGAAGGGGGCUAGCGUUGCUCGGAAUUACUGGGCGUAAAGGGCGCGUAGGCGGACAGCUUAGUCAGAGGUGAAAGCCCAGGGCUUAACCUUGGAAUUGCCUUUGAUACUGGCUGUCUUGAGUGGGGGAGAGGUGAGUGGAACUCCGAGUGUAGAGGUGAAAUUCGUAGAUAUUCGGAAGAACACCAGUGGCGAAGGCGACUCACUGGCCCAAUACUGACGCUGAGGCGCGAAAGCGUGGGGAGCAAACAGGAUUAGAUACCCGAGUAGUCC